Triticum aestivum (bread wheat) is the source of this 4120-nucleotide long non-coding RNA. RefSeq lists it as uncharacterized. Lineage: Eukaryota; Viridiplantae; Streptophyta; Magnoliopsida; Poales; Poaceae. The transcript has 15 exons. The record is from RefSeq and is a predicted model, not a curated record.
GUUUGGGUUUGGAUUUGGAUUUGGACCCGCCGCCGAUUUGUUUGGUCUGGAUCCGCCGCCGCCGGCGACGGCUGCGGCGGACCGGAUCCGUUCAGUCUUCGGGGCGCGCCGUCUAGAUCCGCCGCCCCCCCUCUCUCGUUCCCCUCAUCCACAACCCCCUCCGCGCCGUACGUCGCCGUCGCCGCCGACCCCUCGACCGCGCUCCAACUCCACGGCCGCAGCCGCGCCGUACCUCGGCGUCGCCACCGACCCCUCGACCGCGCUACAACGCCACGGCCCCCGCCGCGCCGUACCUCGGCGUCGCCGCCGACUCCUCGACCGCGCUCCGACCCCACGGCCCCCGCUCUCCCUCGCCGGGACAUCGCGUUCCGUGCUGCUGCGACUCCGCCCGGCACCAGUUGCCGGCCGUUGGGCUCUGAGGUCACUCUUGCAAAAGGCGGCCGCCGCCUUGGAUGACGGCAACAACGACCUGUCAGGCAGCUCCACUCGCCCUCCCCCACUGCGGCAAGAGCAGCACCGGCCACAAGGCCGUGCCCUCCAAGUCCAGCAAGGCAGACGGGUUGAGUGAUAUCCCAAAGAACCUCAGGGAGCUGCUCACCACCAGCUUGCUCGAGGGCCAGCCCGUCAACUACAUGAGGAAAGGGAAGUGACCACUACUCCGUGGAGUCAUUAAAGGCUUAGGCAUAUCGUGCUCUUGCACUUCAUGUAAAGGCCGAAAUGUUGUUUCAUCUUUUUAUUUCGAGGUGCCUGCUGGGAGUCAUAAAAAGCGCCCCACUGAUUAUAUUUUCCUGGAAAUUGGAAAUACUCUGCAUGAUGUAUUGAGGGUGUGCACAGGUGCUACCUUAGACACACUGGAAUCUGCAGUACAGGGAGCAAUAGGCCCAGUGCCUAAGAAGAGGACAUUUUUCUGGUUCUUCAUGUUAGCAAUGGCUAUUUCCAUUUAAGUUCCCUUGGCUUCUUCAUUCUUGCUGUGAAGUAAUGACAGAAACAGUUGUUUGAGGGUUGGCCUGUUGAUUGUGUAACCAAUGAUACAUCCAAGUUAUGAGUGGUAUUGGCUCUGAGGGUUGGCAUUUGUGCAGGAAUCAUUUGAUCUAUUAUCCAAGCUACGACCGGGCGAGACCUUAUUCCAGCCAUGGUCUACGGGAGGAGCGUAAGGGAUCAAGAUUAAUAAGGGAUGUACUGAAGCGUAGGAUCUUCUCAGGGCUCCAGAAUUUUGACCGGAGUAAUGUUGCAUCUAUUGUCAUGGCUGCAGAUAAGCGCAGCAGCAAACACAGUAAAGAAGAAAGGCCAGAAAAUUAAUAACCAUCCAGGAAAUUGCAUUGAAAAGGGUCUGACAAAGAAGCAGAAAGUGCACUCCGAAGAGCCUACAGUGCAAUAUGGUUUGAUAGAUGAUCUUGUCAAGUCUGGAAAUGCUAUUUCAGGGCUUGGAGGCUCCUCCAAACAUUAUCAUGUCUGAAAUGGGCAGCCAAGCUCCAGCCUAUAAAGCUUACAUGGGGACUGACUUUUCAAAUCCUAUGGGGACAAUCAACUAUGAAGAGAUGCACUCUGUCGCAAGCCUGGGUUUCACUCUGUUGCCUUCUCAGGAACUAGGCUUUGUCGCCUGUCAUGCUACUCAGGCGUCUAGUGACAUCCAACAAUAUGUCUAAAAUAAAUUAUACAGUGAUAUGUAGUUACCUCUUGACCCUGCCAUGUUUAUUUCCUUCUUUUGCGUAAAGGCCUAGUAGAAAUCUGAAAGCUCUCUCUUCGGAGCACAAUGAAUGAGAAUGGAAAUCCGUAUAAGGCAAUGAGAAGCUGUAUAUGGAGCACAAUCCAUGGGACUGAAGGCUUCUUAUGAUGUCUACACAUUGUCCAUCAACUGUAUAUGGCAAUUAGAAGCUGCACAGAUGGGCUUAUACUUAAUUGGUUAGUGGUGAGUGGAUUUAGAUUUCAACAAGGGUUGACUUUGACUUCAUAGCUUGUGCAUGCUAGAGGAAAGUGUGAUCGCUUGGACAUCAUAAGCAAUUCGUGAUGUUGAGGAUCUUGUAGAGGAUUUCAGCCGGCUGCGAUGGAUAAAUUUUUCUUGAUUGAAGAGGAAAGUGGAUUCCAAUAUUUUUGAAGCAAAAUGAGUGAAGUUGGUUGAGGAUUGGAGAUGGCGUGUAACCUACUUACACAUGGAUGGGACUGUUGGAAUUGAGGGCACUACAUGUACAUAUGUAUGGAAUGUACUAAAUGCUAAAAAAAGAAAGAAAGAUUAUGCACCUUUUGCAUGCAUCAAAUCCACGGCCAACCUGCGUAGAAUAUAUUCCAUCUGUCGAUCUGUCUGUUCCGUCGUCGUACUAGCAAUUAACAGAUCGAUCGAGGGGGAAAGGGUGAAGGAAGCUUAAUUUGGACGACUGAUCGGCCGCAAAACAGAUAUAUGUAGAUGGAGCACUCGGCCAAAAGAUGCAUGCAUGGAUCCAUACUUCAUUGUGAGAAAUGAACACCCGAUUAUGUAAAGGUUUUACAAGGAUGAUCAAAUUCUUCGUUCUCCUGGGAGGGGAGGCUUUUCUUGAGCUUUGGGCUAGGUAGCUAGCCCAGGCAGCAUCGAGACCGGAGAGCAGAGAGCUUCCAAGGUGGAUGUGGGGCUCGCAGCAACCUGAACGCCAUGCUUGCGAAAGAGCAGGGGUUCGUCAAUUGGCAUCACCCUCACUCCAUUUGCUCUGUUCUCCCCACCAGCCUCUGAAGAUGCUGGCAGAACAGAUGUGUUUGUUCCAUGAUGUAUUCGUUGAAGAUCAGGUGCCAUCUUCUGAUUGUUCUUAAAGUCAGCGACCAAAUCUGUUUCAAUGACAGCCAAACGACACCAUUAAACACCAUGCCAUUCAUGUGCUUCCACAGAGCCCAGAGGGUGGCAACUACAAUGGUAUUAAAUGAGUCAAGUUCUUCCCAGCAACCCAACAGGAAGAAAUAGAUUCUACACUAGUGCCCACUGGUCUGGAGAAUAAAUGGCUAAAGUUCUCCCAAACCAGCUUGGCCACCAUUCAAUCAAAGAAAAGGUGCUGUACACUUUCAUUUCCAGCACAGAAAACACAUCCCAAUGGUUUGUUCAUCAUUCUUUUCUGCAAAUUAUCUCCAGUCAUGAUUUUAUUGUAUGAAACUAACCAGAGGAAUAUAUGUAUCCUGGGGGGAACAGCCAGUUUCCAAACAGCAGGGAUAAACACAGGUGUACUCCCCUAUAAUUGAUGAUAGCAUACAGUGAACUAAUAGUGUAGGUGCCUGAAGCUGUAUACUGCCAAAUGAGUGUAUCAGUAUCUUCAGAAUAUGAGAUGCUCCUACCAAUAGCUUCAAGCUCAUACCAAGAGUUCAUCAGGGUGGGAGGGGGGGUUCUUCUAAAAGUGAGUUCCAAACUCUCUCCAUCCCAGAUUUGACUAACUGUUUUACCCUGCUCUCAACAAAUCACAUAAAGCUCCCAGAAUUGAAUUGAGAGAGGGGCUGUGCCAAACCAGCAGUCUUCCCGAAACCUUAUUUGUUUGCCAUCCCCAAGAGACCACCUAUAACCAAAUUUAACAGCCUUAGAGGCCCAUAUCACUCCUUUCCAAAAGGUAGAGGCCUCAGAGUUCUGGUUCCAGAAGAUAUUGCGGAUAGGGCUAUACUUAUUAUCUAUAAUUGUUUUCCAAAUCUUACCUUCACUACUAGUAUAUCUCUUAAUCCAUGCCCCCAAAAGGCAGAUGUUGAGGUCCUGGGUAUUAGGAAUACUCAGUCCUCCAAAUUCUUUCCUCAUAGACACCGAAGGACAAUUGGCUAGAUGGAUCUUUCCGGCACAGAACGUAGGACAUGAUCAAGAAGAAUGACCCACAUUUGUUUUGAUCUUUAUAAUGUCUUAACUGGAUCUGACUUCUGCAAUAGAAAAGUAUAUGUUUCUUACGAGGUAAUGGAAACUAAUGAGAAAUCAGAAUUAUCCAGAUGGGUUUGAUUGCAUCUCCUCUGACUAAUGUAUGCAAUUUUACCGUGUUUUCAUGGAUGGAAUUUGCCAUGACUGUCAAACAUAAUGUGUGCAAGUACAAAAUAUAGUAGACUUGCAUGUACUGGUUACCAAUUUGAUUGAGAGGUACUAAGCUUAGCAAUGCAAAUAUGUAGUGUUUGUGUCACCGACUCAGUCAUAGAA